This 2689-nucleotide long non-coding RNA is filed under the name Homo sapiens (human). RNAcentral's name for it is "HSALNT0342454". The record is from RNAcentral. Lineage: Eukaryota; Metazoa; Chordata; Mammalia; Primates; Hominidae.
GCUCACCAAGAACUCAAGUGCUCAUUCAAUAAAACACACACAGCUGAAGGGAAACAGUUAAGAGCCCUGGGUCUGGAGCAAAACUGCUGAGGUUUGAGGCCCCGUUUUGCUGCUCACUAGCUACAUGAUCUUGGGCAAGUUAUUUAAGCUCUCUGAGCUUCAGUUUCUUCCUCUGCAGAAUGGGGAUGAAAGUGGACUACUACCUCAUGGCAUGUUUUGAGGAUGAAAUGAGCUAAUAAACACAGUCUUCAGCCCUACAUUAGGAUGGCCUAAGGAAAACAAGAAGACUGAAUGAUAUUCCCUGGUUCUCACUCUGUCAUCCAAGCUAGAGUGCAGUGGGGUAAAACACGGCUCACUGCAGCCUCGAUCUCUUGGCUCAAGCUAUCCUCCUGCCUCAGCCUCCUGUUUAUCUGGGACCACAGCUGACUUAUAUAAGUUAUUAGUCUUCUAGAAGGAUCACAAGGAACCAGCAUCAAAGAAAUGGAAUCCAGCUAAUUCCCCCAAGAAACUGAAGUUUUCGGGACAUGACUUGUGAAAGGCAAACAUAAGCUGACAUCUUUUCACACUGAACAGCAAGAGCCAAAGUGUAUCCGAAAAGCCAUUGUCAAAACAAGGAGUGAGAACAGCUGGGGUCAAGACCUAAUGAAGGGCAUCACUCAGCCUCUUUGAGCCUCGGAUUCCUCAUUUGUAAAGUGGGCAUAAUAAUACCUCACAGGGUAGUUAUGAGGGCAAAUGAGAUAAUGGACACGAAGGCACCUGUACACUCCACGGUGCUAUCAGAAUAUUGACUAUUAGUGCUUUCAUCACGCGGCUCCAUCCAAACCCCUGCUUUCCCUCACUCCAGCAACCUGGCGGUUCCCCGCUCCAGGGAGGUCACCCUCUUGAUGCUGAAUUUAGCACGGACACCUGAUGGGCACAGUGCACUGCAGCCCAGAGCUCCUGAGCUCAAGCCAUCCUCCUGCCUCAGCCUCCAAGUAGCCAGGACCACAGGCACGCACCCUGAGGAGGAAGAAAUACCAGGUGCGCAUGCUCCAAGAAAAAGCCAUCUGAGGACGCGGCAAGAAGGCCGCCAUCUACAAGCCAAGGAGAGGGGCCUCAGGAGAAAUCGAACCUGUCACACCUUGAUCUUGGACUUCCAGCCUUCAGAACUGUGAGAAAGUAAAUUUCUGUGUUCAAGCUACCAGGUCUGUGGGAUUUUUUAUGGCAGCCCUAGCAGACUAAGACAGGCAUCAAUGGUUCCAAUGUUUUCAUUUUUUUUCCGGUAAGCAGACCGAAGCCCAGAGAGAUGAAGCAAUUUGCCCAAAGUCACAUACCAAGUUAACUGAAGAGUUGGGGUUAGAAUCCAGCUCUUGUGACUUCUCUCUUUUCAGUUUCCCUUCCCACUCCCCCCACUGAAAAGCUUUUGAGUGACUCUUUUAGAAAUCCCGGUUCUGUAUAUGAAGCAGAAUUGAGCACAGCUGCUCUAAUGAAGGGCUCAGAGCUCCCAGGCUUUUCUCUCUCCCCUGCCCCUUUUCCCUGUUGCACCUCUGCAGUGUCCUGAGGGUUGAUGGAAUCUAGUUUGAAAGCUAUUGCUCUACCUCACUGCCUCCUGAAUGCAAUGUCACAAAUUUUCCCAACUUGCCAUUUCUCUCACACUGACAUAAAGCAUUAGAAACCUGUUGUGAAGUAGGAAAGCUAACUGGGUCAGUAGCUGAUAAGAUAAUCUGGCCUAGGGGAUAGAUGAUUAGGAUUUCAGAGAAGGAAAGGUCACCCAAUUGAUUUGACUCUGUCCUGGGGCGAUGAUAUGGUGAAGAUUUCUACAGAUGCAGCAGAAACAUCCGGAAACCAGGUGUGUCCCAGCUCUGGUCUGGGAACCAUUUCAUAAAUUGGCAAAUAUCCAGGAUAUACACAUGGCUAAUUCUGAGGUGUACUGAAGUUUCAAUAAAGCUACUUUGGUAAUGACUAGGAGAAGAAAAUCCUAUGGCUGGACUUCAUUAAUGUUGUAUGGCCAAGGACAGUGUUUCUCUAAUUAUGGCCUGUGAACCUCCCUGGAUCUCGAUCACCUGCAUAUUUGGGAAUAUGCAGGUUCCAGGGUCCCACCUGAAACUACAGAAUCAGUAUUGAGAUCCCAGGUGAUUCUCAUGUACACUCAAGUGUAAGAUUAUUAGCACCUGGACUUUGGAAGCAGCCAGAUAAAAGUUUGGAUCCUGGGUUGGCUACUUCCUAGAUGUGGCCAAGUCAUUUUACUUGCCAUGCUUUUGCUUUUCUUGUCUGUAAAGUGGACAUGAUACCUAUUUUACAGGGUGGUUUUGAGGAAUAAGGUCAGCAUUAAACAUUUAUCCUCUUUAGGGAGACAGAGAGAGGAGAUGAAAUAGAGUAGAAUUGAGAAAAGCAGUUUCUUAGACCUCCCUGUGAAGUUUUUCUUAUUUCAACAAAUAAUAAAAUAAAAAAUUCAUACACUUUCUUAGUGCUUGUUUGGACUUAAGAAUUUAAAAAUAACUUGAGAGUUUUAUAGGCAUCAAGGAUGAUGUCUGAGUGCUGGAAAUACUUGACCUUUGGCUGGAAGGUGGAGUGAAGGUGCCAGCGGACUGAACCCUGGGAGACUGUCUUCUGUUUUAUGAAUGUGGUCAUGCUCUGAGUUAAAUGAUGUCCCUGGUAAGGACAUCUCCCAGAAAAGCUUAGAAAUCAGCUGUAAUCCUUGUUCCCUGCA